CGUAGGCAAGCAGCGCCCGCUGGCACAGUUCGGAACGCACGCAGUCCUGUUUAUUAAAACGAACCACGCCCACCAUGUCAUCUUCGGUGAAGCGCGCCAGUGCAUCAUUAAGACCGGACUGGACGUGAGCAGGCAAAUCACACUGGGUAAUAUCGCCGUUCACAAUCACCGUCACGUUCUCCCCCAGCCUGGUC
RNAcentral lists this antisense RNA (194 nucleotides) under Erwinia tasmaniensis. RNAcentral describes it as "Yersinia sRNA 251". It matches the Rfam family "Yersinia sRNA 251". From Rfam's summary of the family: Antisense to phoH gene. Trimmed on 5'end from the original size. Lineage: Bacteria; Pseudomonadati; Pseudomonadota; Gammaproteobacteria; Enterobacterales; Erwiniaceae. The record is from Rfam by way of RNAcentral.